Octopus sinensis (East Asian common octopus) is the source of this 185-nucleotide long non-coding RNA. RefSeq lists it as uncharacterized. The record is from RefSeq and is a predicted model, not a curated record. NCBI's taxonomy places the organism in Eukaryota, Metazoa, Mollusca, Cephalopoda, Octopoda, Octopodidae. The transcript has 3 exons.
UAUGCUAGAAAUAACAGCCAAAUCUCACAAAACUGUGAUAACAUAAUGAAAGAAAUAUGUAAUCAAUCUACUCACUUUUCUGCAAAGAUUUCUUUCAGAGUAAUAUCCCACAGUAAUAUGACAAAGUGAAAUGAAAGUGUUAAUUUUUUUUUUACAACUGUUGGAAUUUACAAAACCUCAAUCCA